GCAUUGUUGAGAAAUUGUCACCAUCAUCGGCUAUAGUCAAGCUCUGAUAGACAUGAAGCUAGGGCUUGUCUAACAAGCUUAUUAUUUGAUUCCACACAAAGCACUUCUUCAAACAGACUCUUUGCCUGCUGCAGAAGUUUCAUCUUUUCUCUGCUGUUAUUUGGGCGCAAAUGAGACCGCUGCUGCAGUGCUAAUCCCCAUCUG
This 204-nucleotide unclassified non-coding RNA is filed under the name Hevea brasiliensis (rubber tree). The record is from RNAcentral. Lineage: Eukaryota; Viridiplantae; Streptophyta; Magnoliopsida; Malpighiales; Euphorbiaceae.